This 427-nucleotide ribosomal RNA is filed under the name uncultured bacterium. RNAcentral describes it as "partial 16S ribosomal RNA". It matches the Rfam family "Bacterial small subunit ribosomal RNA", at positions 355 to 774 of the family's 1533-position model. The record is from RNAcentral.
UGGGGAAUAUUGCACAAUGGGCGCAAGCCUGAUGCAGCCAUGCCGCGUGUAUGAAGAAGGCCUUCGGGUUGUAAAGUACUUUCAGCGAGGAGGAAGGCGGUAAGGUUAAUAACCUUAUCGAUUGACGUUACUCGCAGAAGAAGCACCGGCUAACUCCGUGCCAGCAGCCGCGGUAAUACGGAGGGUGCAAGCGUUAAUCGGAAUUACUGGGCGUAAAGCGCACGCAGGCGGUCUGUCAAGUCGGAUGUGAAAUCCCCGGGCUCAACCUGGAAACUGCAUUCGAAACUGGCAGGCUAGAGUCUUGUAGAGGGGGGUAGAAUUCCAGGUGUAGCGGUGAAAUGCGUAGAGAUCUGGAGGAAUACCGGUGGCGAAGGCGGCCCCCUGGACAAAGACUGACGCUCAGGUGCGAAAGCGUGGGGAGCAAACA